GGCGCUGGAAGAGACUGUCGCUCCGCGCUCUCGCGGAGAGGAAAGUCCGGACGCCACCAGGGAAGCGGGCCGUGGGAAACCGCGGGCUCGAGCGGGCGAAAGCUGUUCGGGACGGAAAGUGUCACAGAGAAAAGACCGCCGCAUCGCAGGAUGCGGCAAGGGUGAAACGGCGGGGUAAGAGCCCACCGCUCGGCACCGGCAACGGCCGAGGCACGAUAAACCCCCCGCGGCGCAAGGCCAAACAGAGGUGCCGGCUCCCUGGCCGCCCGAAAGCUCGGGCGCUACCGCGCCGAGCAUUCGGGCACACCUCGGGUUGGGCCGCACCGCGACGGCUUGCCGUCGCGGACUGAUCGCCGUAGCGCGAUGGGUAGAGAAAUGACGGUCGCCUGGAAGGGGUAAUUUCCAGGAACAGAAUCCGGCUUAUCUUCCAGCGCCGAUU
This 439-nucleotide RNase P RNA is filed under the name Methylacidimicrobium sp. B4. Its description in RNAcentral is "RNase P RNA component class A". It matches the Rfam family "Bacterial RNase P class A". From Rfam's summary of the family: Ribonuclease P (RNase P) is a ubiquitous endoribonuclease, found in archaea, bacteria and eukarya as well as chloroplasts and mitochondria. Lineage: Bacteria; Pseudomonadati; Verrucomicrobiota. The record is from RNAcentral.